Bufo bufo (common toad) is the source of this 531-nucleotide long non-coding RNA. RefSeq lists it as uncharacterized. NCBI's taxonomy places the organism in Eukaryota, Metazoa, Chordata, Amphibia, Anura, Bufonidae. The transcript has 3 exons. The record is from RefSeq and is a predicted model, not a curated record.
UGCUAACAGCCGGAUACAGCCCCAAGCCAGAAAUGUGGAGGAGGAGGAACAAGCAACCUGGUACAGUGUCUAAGAACAAGUAACAGGGCAAAAAAAGCGCUUCCCCACAAGGGAACUUACGGCAGGCGGCACAGAAGGGUCUCCAGGGGAGCGGGGUUCAGUCGACAUGACUGCACGCUGACUCCGAUGUACGCCGGUACACAGACGUUCGGCACUUGCUGGCGCCGAAAUUUGAACUGGAGACGCUUCCUGGAUGACGUCACUUCCCCCGUCCACCGGAAGUGACGUCUGCCGCUUUUCUGAAGCGCUUAGGCGCGCACCCAGCGAUAGCCAAGGAGGCCCGGCGGGAGAUCGCGACCCGGGAGCAGGCUCACAUAUAGAAAUGGAGCGAGGCCUCCCUCCUUCACCCCUGCCCAGCGUUAGUACAGAGACCGCAGGAGGGCAGGGGGAACACCAGGUAAGGUGUCAAUAAGUUAUCCAUCUUCAUCUCCCCACAGGGAGACUCUCUCUGCCCCUGUCCUCUGUAGGGAC